This 482-nucleotide ribosomal RNA is filed under the name uncultured bacterium. RNAcentral describes it as "partial 16S ribosomal RNA". It matches the Rfam family "Bacterial small subunit ribosomal RNA", at positions 28 to 507 of the family's 1533-position model. The record is from RNAcentral.
GACGAACGCUGGCGGCGUGCUUAACACAUGCAAGUCGAACGCUGAAGCUCAGCUUGCUGGGUGGAUGAGUGGCGAACGGGUGAGUAACACGUGAGUAACCUGCCCUCUUCUUUGGGAUAACGCCCGGAAACGGGUGCUAAUACUGGAUAUUCACUGAUUCUCGCAUGGGGGUUGGUGGAAAGGUUUUUUCUGGUGGGGGAUGGGCUCGCGGCCUAUCAGCUUGUUGGUGGGGUGAUGGCCUACCAAGGCUUUGACGGGUAGCCGGCCUGAGAGGGUGACCGGGCACAUGAGGACUGGGAUACGGCCCAGACUCCUACGGCAGGCAGCAGUGGGGAAUAUUGCACAAUGGGCGAAAGCCUGAUGCAGCGACGCCGCGUGAGGGAUGGAGGCCUUCGGGUUGUAAACCUCUUUCGCUCAUGGUCAAGCCGCAGCUUUGGGUUGUGGUGAGGGUAGUGGGUAAAGAAGCGCCGGCUAACUACGUG